Molecule: ribosomal RNA, 434 nt
Filed under: uncultured bacterium
Lineage: Bacteria
Description: bacterial SSU rRNA
Rfam family: Bacterial small subunit ribosomal RNA
Source: RNAcentral
GGGAGGCAGCAGUGGGGAAUCUUGCGCAAUGGGGGCAACCCUGACGCAGCCAUACCGCGUGUGUGAUGAAGGUCUUCGGAUUGUAAAGCACUUUCAGUGGGGACGAUGAUGACGGUACCCACAGAAGAAGUCACGGCUAACUUCGUGCCAGCAGCCGCGGUAAUACGAAGGUGGCGAAUGUUGCUCGGAUUCACUGGGCGUAAAGCGUCGGUAGGUGGUUUGUUAAGUCAGAGGUGAAAGCCCCGCGCUCAACGUGGGAAUUGCCUUUGAAACUGAUGAACUUGAAGAUAUGAGAGGAUGGCGGAAUGACUGGUGUAGAGGUAAAAUUCAUAGAUAUCAGUCGGAACACCCAAGGCGAAGGCAGCUAUCUGGCAUAUUCUUGACACUGAGCGACGACAGCGUGGGGAGCAAACAGGAUUAGAUACCCUGGUAGG